AUAGUAGAAACUUUCAAAGCAAUGUCUACAAGUUUAAAUUCUUUAACCCUGUUCAAGGUGUAUACACACUCAAUAUUUAACUACAGUCCAGGUUUGCAAUUAACAAACUAUCUGAUAAACCUGUGUGUGAGUCAGAUAUGUCUGCUGCUAAUCUAUUGGUUAUAAAAUAUCACAGCCUUUUCUGAUUGGCUGAGUUCAAAUACAGAAAGUUUACCUGUUAGAUUGAAAUUUUGGCGUAUUGCAGAAAAUAUGCAGGUUAAACUUGUUGUUAAAAUGAAGUUAAUGUAAUGUUCACAAACAGUAGAGUUAAUGAGUUUUUCCAUUAACAAGAAUUUCUUAAAAUUAUAAUGUAUGGAUAUCAUUUGGAAAGUGACAUGAAAUGUUGUUAAAAAGUGAUGCAUACAAGUGUUUCAGAAGUCUGUCUAGGAAUAGAACAACAACUGAAGCUGACCAGUUGAUGGAAGAUACUGCAGAGUUUGGCAGGGAAAUAACCCAAGACAGCAAAGCGGCUCUUUUGGCGCAUUUACCAAGAGGACUAACAUGGCCACAAAUUCAUGAGAUCAUGCAGGAGCCGUACAGUAUAACAGCAGUCCAAGUUCUAUAAAAGAUCCACGACCUACUAAAGCCUAGCUAAUUAACAAAAAAGUUUUUAAAAACUGUAAUUUUAUCCCACCUGGGUACUUAUAAUUUACUAAGCUGCCUUCACAAGUUUUAGACUUGCAAUUAUAUUUUAAACUGUCACUUGGAAAGUAAUACAUGUACAUGCAUUAUGUUCUGAAUUUCUUUGAACAAUAAAAUUAUAUAAAAGUAUUUUAAUGAAAUUUAGCACCUUAAUUGCAUUAAAGUGAAAGUAGCUGAGAAAAAUAGUAUCCUUGUGCUCAUGGGCAGCUACAUAUAUUGUGACAAACAUGAAGUAGCUAAAAUAACUUAAAUUUUUCAUUUUGUUUCUUGUAUAUCGUUUGUACAGGGUUCGUGAAUUGUUACUGUAUAUUACUUGACUUGCUUGUAUUUUGUUACUUUGAAUACAUGUUGUUAAGGUUGCAUUAUACUUUUUAACUUUUAAAGUAGCGCCUGUUCUGUUAUGUAAGGGCCUGAUUUAUGAUAAUGGACCUAGAGGCUUUGUAAGCAUGUAUUAAACAACACUUGUUUGAUCUGAAUAAUUUGUUAAAUAAAUGUAACACAAUUUGUAAUCUGAUGUUAUAUUUUGAUGAAUUGUGAACAAAAUAAUACAUCGAAGAAACUAA
Dreissena polymorpha is the source of this 1244-nucleotide long non-coding RNA. RefSeq lists it as uncharacterized. The transcript is spliced from 3 exons. NCBI's taxonomy places the organism in Eukaryota, Metazoa, Mollusca, Bivalvia, Myida, Dreissenidae. The record is from RefSeq and is a predicted model, not a curated record.